UUUUUUGUUUGGUUUUUGAUUUUUUUUUUUUUUUUUUUUUUUUUUUUUUUUUUUUUUUUUUUUUUUGCUUUAAGGCCUCUGUGGAGGUUUUACAACUUAGCUGCGAAAUUUCUCACACCCUUCCUGUUGAGAGGUGGGGACUUUGUCCCCUCCCCUGGAAUCUGAGAGCUGCAGAGUAUGGUGGAAAUGACUUUGUGUGACAUCCUAGGCUACAUCAUAAAAGAACAUAUACCACUUCAACCUUGUUUCCUGGAACAUGGAACCACCCUGUUCUGAGAGGCACAGGUAUACUCCCUGGCCAGUAGUCCCAGCUGAGUCCACCCUUCUGGGUAUCCUGCCACAGUGCCAGACAGCUUCCAUGUUGAGUUAUUUCACGGAGAGUCCCAAGGAAUGAAGAGUGUGGCCUCUGGCCAACAGCCUCCAACAACCAUGUGAGUGAGCUUGAAAGUGGAUCCUUCUAUAGUCUAGUCUUCAGAUGAGAUCACAGCCCAACUGAUACCUUGACUGCAACCUGGUAAGAGAUCCUAAGCCAGAGGACCCAGCUCAUGUGCCUAGACUCCUGACCCAUAGAGACCAGGCAAUCAUAAAUGUUGUUUUAAACCACAAAGUUUUGGGAAAAUUUGUUAUACACUAACAGGUAACUGUUAGAGUAUUAUUAGAGCAAAUUUCAGACAGAUGGAGGUAAAGCUUCUUUCAGGUGGCA
Molecule: long non-coding RNA, 703 nt
Organism: Panthera uncia (snow leopard)
Lineage: Eukaryota; Metazoa; Chordata; Mammalia; Carnivora; Felidae
Exons: 3
Source: RefSeq, a predicted model, not a curated record